GAGCUUGUGAUGAGUUUCUCGGAUUCCCCAUCAAGACAUUGCGAGUGAUGUUAACCCGAGACUCUGAUGCU
This is a small nucleolar RNA of Cannabis sativa, 71 nucleotides long. RefSeq annotates it as small nucleolar RNA snoR60. Lineage: Eukaryota; Viridiplantae; Streptophyta; Magnoliopsida; Rosales; Cannabaceae. The transcript has a single exon. The record is from RefSeq and is a predicted model, not a curated record.